GCGGGAAUAGCUCAGUUGGUAGAGCAUAACCUUGCCAAGGUNNGUUGGGGUCGCGAGUUCGAGUCUCGUUUCCCGCUCCA
RNAcentral lists this transfer RNA (80 nucleotides) under Acinetobacter nosocomialis. RNAcentral's name for it is "tRNA-Gly". It matches the Rfam family "tRNA". From Rfam's summary of the family: Transfer RNA (tRNA) molecules are approximately 80 nucleotides in length. Their secondary structure includes four short double-helical elements and three loops (D, anti-codon, and T loops). The record is from RNAcentral. Lineage: Bacteria; Pseudomonadati; Pseudomonadota; Gammaproteobacteria; Moraxellales; Moraxellaceae.